AACGGUCUAUACCUGCGGUACCUGCGGAGGGAUCAUUACCGAGUGCGGGCCCUCUGGGUCCAACCUCCCACCCGUGUUUAUCGUGCCUUGUUGCUUCGGUGCGCCCGCCCCAGUGGCCGCCGGGGGGAUUACGCCUCCCUGGCCAGUGCCCGCCGAAGACACCAACGAACGCUAUCUUGAAGCUUGCAGUCUGAGCUGAUUAGCAUAAUCAAUUAAAACUUUCAACAAUGGAUCUCUAGA
Molecule: unclassified non-coding RNA, 240 nt
Filed under: soil metagenome
Description: partial contains 5.8S ribosomal RNA, internal transcribed spacer 2, and large subunit ribosomal RNA
Source: RNAcentral